Molecule: ribosomal RNA, 740 nt
Filed under: uncultured bacterium
Lineage: Bacteria
Description: bacterial SSU rRNA
Rfam family: Bacterial small subunit ribosomal RNA
Source: RNAcentral
AGAGUUUGAUCCUGGCUCAGGACGAACGCUGGCGGCGUGCCUAAUACAUGCAAGUAGAACGCUGAAGAAAGGAGCUUGCUUCUUUUGGAUGAGUUGCGAACGGGUGAGUAACGCGUAGGUAACCUGCCUUGUAGCGGGGGAUAACUAUUGGAAACGAUAGCUAAUACCGCAUAACAGCUUUUGACACAUGUUAGAAGCUUGAAAGAUGCAAUUGCAUCACUACGAGAUGGACCUGCGUUGUAUUAGCUAGUAGGUAGGGUAACGGCCUACCUAGGCGACGAUACAUAGCCGACCUGAGAGGGUGACCGGCCACACUGGGACUGAGACACGGCCCACACUCCUACGGGAGGCAGCAGUAGGGAAUCUUCGGCAAUGGGGGCAACCCUGACCGAGCAACGCCGCGUGAGUGAAGAAGGUUUUCGGAUCGUAAAGCUCUGUUGUAAGAGAAGAAUGUGUGUGAGAGUGGAAAGUUCACACAGUGACGGUAACUUACCAGAAAGGGACGGCUAACUACGUGCCAGCAGCCGCGGUAAUACGUAGGUCCCGAGCGUUGUCCGGAUUUAUUGGGCGUAAAGCGAGCGCAGGCGGUUUAAUAAGUCUGAAGUUAAAGGCGGUGGCUUAACCAUUGUUCGCUUUGGAAACUGUUAAACUUGAGUGCAGAGGGGGAGAGUGGAUUUCCAUGUGUAACGGGUGAAAUGCAUAAAUAUAAUGGAGGGAACCCCGGGGGGAAAAAGCCGCUC